AGGACGAACGCUGGCGGCGUGCCUAACACAUGCAAGUCGAGCGGAGUCGGUAAGAGGAAGUUUCGGAUGGAAUCUUAUGAUUAGCGGCGGACGGGUGAGUAACGCGUGAGCGACCAACCUUGCACAGGGGGAUAACGGACCGAAAGGUUCACUAAUACCGCAUGAGACCACGGUGUUGCAUGACACAGAGGUCAAAGGAGCAAUCCGGUGCAAGACGGGCUCGCGUCCGAUUAGGUAGUUGGAGGGGUAACGGCCCACCAAGCCUAUGAUCGGUAGCCGACCUGAGAGGGUGAUCGGCCACAUUGGAACUGAGAUACGGUCCAAACUCCUACGGGAGGCAGCAGUGGGGAAUAUUGGGCAAUGGGGGAAACCCUGACCCAGCAACGCCGCGUGAAGGAAGAAGGUUUUCGGAUUGUAAACUUCUGUCCUUGGUGAAGAGAAGAAGACGGUAGCCAAGGAGGAAGCCCCGGCUAACUACGUGCCAGCAGCUGC
RNAcentral lists this ribosomal RNA (492 nucleotides) under uncultured bacterium. Its description in RNAcentral is "bacterial SSU rRNA". It matches the Rfam family "Bacterial small subunit ribosomal RNA", at positions 26 to 518 of the family's 1533-position model. The record is from RNAcentral.